Carassius gibelio (silver crucian carp) is the source of this 4095-nucleotide long non-coding RNA. RefSeq lists it as uncharacterized. The record is from RefSeq and is a predicted model, not a curated record. Lineage: Eukaryota; Metazoa; Chordata; Actinopteri; Cypriniformes; Cyprinidae. The transcript is spliced from 16 exons.
UUUUUUAAACUGGGCUCUUAUGAAUUUAGACAAUGAUAAGCAAACUAUAAAAAAUGAUUGCAACAUCCGUCCUUCCCUAAAGCUAUAAUGUCUGUAUCAGUAUCAAUUAAAUUAUUCAUUAUUCUAUUAGUCAUGUAAGAUAAAUGCAUGCCGAUCCAAACAAAUCCAUUUAAGAAUUAUGCAUUAACUGCGCAAAAUAAUGUAAAAUAAGACAUUUAUUUAGUCUUAUGUCUGUUUAAUUGUUCAUAUGAUCCCGAUGCGAGUUACUAGCUGAGAAUGAUUAGCCUGCCUUAAUAUUAUCUAAUUAAUAUAGAUAAUUGAUGUGCAAUUAAUGUUUGUCUACUGUUUUUAAUGCCACUCAGCGUGAUGUAGGCUAAUAUAACAUACAAGUAGAACGUUUCAUGUCUGUGCUUUCUAUUUGAUUGGUCACUGUUCAUUUCCAGUGGUGCUGAAAUUCUGCUUCAGUCAUAAAAACUUUAAACUGGUACCGGUUUCAGGUUCUUUUAGAGUGACUCCCAGAUUAGUGGAGACACAGCCUGAGUUGAAUAUUAAUAAUUUUAUAUCAAGUCUACUUCGAAAACUGGGCUGGUCAGAUUCAAGGAAUCGACUCUUUUGGAGUCGACUCCUCAUCAGUACUGCGCAUGUGCUUACAAAUCAUCACAUCGACGCGCACGUGGAAGUGAUCGCCGCGGGAAAACUGAGUUUGUCUAGUUCCUCCAUGGUUGUGAGAGGAAAGACCUCAUCCUCGCUGUCCACCACUGGAGCACUGGAACGGUUGUUUGCUGCCAGGGACUGGACCACUGAAGUCAGAUGGUUGAUCUUCAUGUCCAGUUCAUUAAGUGCCUCCAGAAUUGUCCUCUCAACAGCUGCAACACAUUAGAUGGGUGUUCAUCCCAAGCAUCUUCUUGCUCAUUUUCAUUGGACAAGCUCACUGGAACAGCUGGAGUUAAGAAAGGUGAAGUUGAUGGGUGUUCUUCCCAAGUUUCCAGCUGGCGGUCUGAAUGAGAGAAGCUCAUUAACGUUACAAAAGGUGAGUGUCCACCCCAAUGAUCUUGUGGCUCAUCUGCCUGGGAGAAGCUCACGGGAACAUCUGGAGCUGACAAUGAUGGAACUGUACUCAUGUAGAGCCUGUUACCUUGACAGCUGGGGAAAGUCUCAAAACGGGCCUGCUCUGGCUUCUCCAUGGCCCUUUGGUGGUGAUUAACAAAUGCUGUUGAAAGAAUUGAGGUGCUGGAGGUUUUGGUGCAGGCGGGACUUUUGGUGCGGGCUGGAUUUUUGGUAAUUUUCAGAUUCUGAGAUGUCAGAAGUGUAGCAUGCCCUUUUCCAUUUUUUGGAAAUGUUGUCAAAUGAUGCUGAAAUGAUCAAAAAUUCUGGCCUGAUGCUUGGUCCAACCCUUAUCUGGCUGUGGUGCCUCCAUCAACCUGACGCUCUUUAGUAACCGGUCCAAGUCUUUGUAUGGAGGCCACCAUGAGUGGCCAUCUGAGUACCAGGACUUUGCUACAGGACCGGUACUCCCUUCUCCGACGAACUCCACUAUCAGAAAUGUGUUGGUCCUGAGAUGCCAUGAACUAGAUGAAUACCAAGUUCUGAGGAUGGAAGUGGAUAAUCAAAAAAAGGUUCAUGAUUGUUGAAGGUAGUGUAGGCCACGUAAAUGUCAUCCUUCGCUGAAAUUAUAUUUUGCAGCUUUGCAACUUUCCCAUCAAUGUAAACAUAACUGUUGGCCUGGUCCAGUUUAAGAGUGUAAGAGCAGGUUUUUAUUUCUUUGUACUGUGAAGAUCCAUGAAAACAUUCAGGUAGAGGGCCAGCUGUGUGUUGUUUUCUGAGCAUUGGUGGGUUGUUUUUCUCCUUUUUUUUGCUGCAGCUUUGCAUUUCUGAGAACCUUCUCACAAUCUGACUCAGAGGACAUGUAGGUUUCCGCAGGAGUCUUUUCAGCUUGUUAAGGUGAUCCUCAUACUGGAAAGCACUGAAGUUGUCGAGGACACCAUGGUGUUUUGCAUCUUCUGCAAGAUGUACAAGACAGUGGACGUUGUAGGACAGGAAUUUGGGGCCGUAUAGCUGUCCAAAGUGUGCGACAAAAAGUCGCAGAAUAUCAUUGGCAUAGUCGAUGUGAUCACCAAUUAGGCUGUUAUUGCACAAGAUGAAGAUUCCCACAAAAAACAGCAGGAAGUUUUUGUAUACAUCCGUGCUGAGUAGGUCUUUCAACAUAACAGGGCCUGUGUACAAUAAAAACUGUCUAAACUCGGUCGCCUUCCAACGAUCUAUUUCCCUCACUGCCCUUGGUUUGCGCGCAAAUUCCAUAGGUACAUUUUUUUUGGCACCAACCAACCUUUCUGUCAGCACAGUGGCUUGAAAUCCUGACAGCCUGCAAGUUAGAGGACCCAGUCGAAGCCACAAGUGGAGAAGCCGCCUCAUGACACCAAGGCACACAAGGUGCAUGUAAUCAAGGGGGAAUCCAGAGACCAUAUCCAAGGAUGUUUCUUCUAGUGGGAAUGUCAUCCUGUUCUCCAGGUGCACACCAUCCUGAAUGCACUUUUCGCAUCCAUGGUAGCCUGCAUGGCCCUUCACUUUUUUCAGAAAAGCACGUGCAGGUGCGUCGCAAAUCAUUGAGGUCCAGAAACGUAGUAAGGACAUCAAUAAAACAGACCAUGUGACAUCAGUGGCUCAACUUCAGUUUUAUGAAGGUGGCGAUGUACGCGCGCGAGUCGCCAAUGAGCCAAGGGAUGAAGAAGUCCUCAGGGCAAGAUGUGGUGGAGUUAUGGUUGAGAGUGCAAUCUAUUCUGCUUACCCGACUCAUGCAGACUUCUGUCCUGAUGUUUGGCUGUAGUCCUUCCAUCAUCCAGUCUUCUGCAGCCGGUCUAUUUAUGGAGACCACCAUGAUCUAAUCUAUACAGAUCUAGUUGUCUCUUCUCCCACAAACUCCUCUUUCAGAUUUUGAGCGGAUCUCCUUCAUUCUGCAGCCAGCUCACCAGAACCUCUGGGUGCACCAGCUGUGGAUAUUACAGGCCAAACUUUGGUUUUCACAUUGUUUGGAGGACAAAAUCGGGAAGGAUGUAGGGGCACACAGUUUGGGCACACAUACACAGUUCAUCUUUGGGUUUGUUGCUCUGUGCUGUUUGAUUGUAUGGUAGUCAGAACUUUGUUCAGUUUUAUUCAUUACUGUCAGCUUUCACAGCAAUACUGCUUAAUGAGCAAUUAUCUCUAUCAAACAUGGACCUUAAAGGGAUGGUUCACCCAAAAACAUUAUUCAAAUAAAUAUUGUGACAAUCAUGUUCAUGAAUCUGAUUUCAGUGGCACAGCUGUGUAGUAUCUAGUACAGAGGUCGUUGACAGUAUUGUGUGCAUUUUACAUGAUGUUCACUGUCCAGUAUUGUAUUAUUGUUUACACAGUAAGUUUUCAGUAACAUUAUUUCCUUAUAAAAUGCUCUAACAUUUUUUUCUUCUUCUUUUCUCCACCAGACACCCUAGGACAACAUCCUUAGCACAGAUCUACCUAUAGCCCUCCAUCAUUCCCACAUCCAUCUUGCAACAGUUUCAUUAACUGCAGUCCAUAACCAGUUCACAGUCUACACCUUGUCCAUUGCAAAUGUUAUGGAUUAUUCUAAUAGAGAUCUUUCUAUUAUUUUUUUUGAGACAGUUAUUAUGUACUCUGUUAUGUUGUGAAUAAAGUCAGCCCCCCCCCCCCCCCACCUCGAUGCUUUCAGCAGUUAAUAGAUUAAAGUGUGUCCUUAAUGUUUUAUUAUUUAAAGAUUGUUUUAAAGUUUAUUACAGGCUCAGUUUAUUUUUUUUAGUAUUAACUGUCAUAAUCAAGUAUGAGACUUUUGUCAGUAUCAUUAAUUCUAUGAGGCAAUAUGAAUCAAAUUAACAUUUGUAUAGGGUUUUCAUCCGAAGGCUUCUUCCUCAUUCAGUUAAACAUCAAAGGUUUUCUAUGCCUUUGUCACUUUUUACUUUCUCAUUGGAAAUUAUGAGCAUCAUUAUUUGGAAGAAAAUAAGAAUAUGAAAAUGGCUUUGAUUUCAAUGUAUUGAAUGGAAUCAAAGAACCACACAAACCUUUGACCUUCACACAGACAUUGUAUAAAUUAAAGUGUUACUCAAAUUA